CACACCAAGUUUUUGCUUUGAUAUUUUGGAUUUUGCAGAUGAAGUUGCCAAGUAGUUUACCACGCGUCUCUCAGUGCUAAUGCAGGCUUUUCCUGGAGGCCUUCAUGCAAAAUUGAUGAAUGUGUAAAUAUGAUUAUUGUAUUUCAUCAAAUAAUGAGUACUGUUUAUUUUCUCUGUGUAGUUGCUGUUUAUUUUCUCUAUCAUUCAUUAUUCAGGUCUCAGCUAUGAAGAACAGACACGGACACCGACACAUUGACACCAAUAAUUUCAUUUGAGAAAAUGACAUAAUUCAAUGUAAUCAUAAUUGUCGGUGUCGGACACUGACGCAUGUGCGACAGCGGGACAAACCUAAUCCCGAGGAGUGGGUCUUAGGCUGGCUAUCUAAUACUUGAUUUAUUAGCUACAAUUUUUAAGCUCUUGUUUUAGUUUUUAUUGUUUUUCAAAAUGAAUCUGGAUUACAAUUUUUUUCAUGUUCUCUGUAACAUUCUGUAUCUAAACGUUGUGCCCAGAAUCUUCUGAUGUCGUUCCAGUUUAUUUUACUGCUAUUUCUUUUGUUGGGUGAGUAACUACAUCUAAUUAUUGCAGGGGCAUUGUAGGAAACUUACCCCAAUUGUUGUAUAAACAUGAUCCUCCUUUUUGAGAAAUUAAUAUGCAAAGGAAUUUUAUAUCAAACAAAUGGAAUUCAACUGUUCCAUUUUACAUAGAUGUAUAUACUUUCAGAUGUUUUAAAACUCAAGAAAAGUAAACAUCCAGAUCAGGACACCUGGAGAAUUAUGUGCUGGUAUGCAGUGGCGGAACUAGGGAGUGGCCGGGUGGGCCAGUUGCGGAACUAGGUGAUUGAUUGUUCAUUGUUCUGGUUUUGUUCUUCCCCUUUAUGUAUUUGGUUCUUUUUUUUUUGUGUAUUAUGUUCUUCUCCUUUGUGUAUUUUGUUUUUCCUCUUAUUAUCUUGUGUUGUUUGAUUUGGUAAGUGGAUUUCUAUAUAAAAAUAGUGCUGCAAUAGGGACUUUUGUUUGCAAUUACAAGUUUUAAUUUGAUGACAUCAUGUUGCAAUUAUAUAUUUUAGUUUUCUUUAGUGGCCCACCCGAAUUUUUUUCUCUAGUUCCGCCACCACUGGUAUGGAUGAUAUGUGAUCGGAUGUGAUGCCAGACAGCAGACAAGUCAUUUGUAAUGUACUAAUAGUCAAAUAUCAUG
Molecule: long non-coding RNA, 1191 nt
Organism: Trifolium pratense (red clover)
Lineage: Eukaryota; Viridiplantae; Streptophyta; Magnoliopsida; Fabales; Fabaceae
Exons: 3
Source: RefSeq, a predicted model, not a curated record